GUCUCAACAGUAAGCGGUUUUCCCCAAGUUUUCCAGGCCUUCGCGGUCUCAGCUGCCUAGUUUGGGCUGAGACGAUUGAGCCUGGAUAGGACCACUGACCCCUCAGCUGGGUCUGCACAGGCCUGGGGACCUUGUGAUGUUUGGAGGCCUGGAGCCUAGUUGUACCUGUGCACAGGAACCACUGGGCACCUUUCUAAAUCGGGAUUCCCGGCCUCCCCUGGCUGCCUGCGCACCGCACCCCCGGUUCCCCACGCCCCCUCGUUUCCCAUGCCCUGUGGAAUCGCAUCCACAUCUCUCACGCCCUCUGUUCCCUGCGUCCACGCCCCACACGCCCACGCCCCCACGCCCUGCGCUCCCACGCCCUGCGCUCCCACGUCCACGCCCCCCACGCUCUACAACCUUACGUUCACGCCCCCCACGCCCUGCGCUCCCACGUCCACGCCCCCCAGGGCCACACCCCCAUGCUCUGCGACCUCGGGUCUAGCCCCACUCCCACCAGUGUUCCCACAUCCACGCUCCCCACGCCCUGAGUCCCCAAGUCCACGCAGCCCGGGUCAGCUGUUCGCUGCUUCUUUCCUGUCAGUCCUUGGGCUUCGCUGAGGCGUUUUGGAAGCUUGCUGAGCCCUCUCGUCUCGCUGGGCACAGUCUAGCACCUCCGCUGUGACGGUUAUAUUAUACUGCAAACCAGCAGCAGCAGGUGAGAGGACAAGGACCCCAAAGGAUCCUUCAGGUCCCCAGUGGCCACAGCUGACCUGCCCCACAGACCUGCUGCUGCUCCCGCUGGCCCACCUGACCGAGGCGCACCUCUGUGCAUUCACUGCUUCCACUGAGUGUGUCCCUUCUGACCGGGGAAAACGAUCUGGAUACUGUUUAAAAGUUCCUUCAGAUGUGUUUUUCAUCCAUUCGCUGUGGAAGGGAUAUUAUGAAUAUUCAGGGAAAAGAUAGCCUGUGACCCCAACUGUCGAACUGUUUCAACACAGCGAGCAGCAAAGUGAACACGACCUACAUUGAAGCCUCCCAGGGGGAUCUGAAGUUGACAGGAAAUGUUCUCCAGUGUGACUCUGGAGAUUUGGGAAAGAAGUUGGAUCAAGGGUUGUUCAGACUGAGGUUUGGACUUGGGAAAGAAGUUGGAUCAAGAGUUGUUCAGACUGAGUCCCAGUGGACAGAAGUCCACCUGCCAUGUAUAGUCUGAUUGGGAAAGACCAUAGAGGAGGAAGUGGAAGUCACGCUUCUGGAGGAUCAACCAGGACCUGGUGUUCUGUGAGGAGUUUACAAGAAGGAGGCCCACUUAUUUCUGAAAGCUUUUCAGAUUAAAGAGCCAGUGGAUAUUUUCAUCAGCAAUUUUGAGAAUGACAACUGGGGACUGGAUGGUUAUGUGAGUACUUCCUGGAGGGCCAUCUAAUCAUCAUGUCUGCGUAGAGGUGGGGGCACCAAUGGGUGUUCCUUCCAAGACAACCUGGGCCCUGUCUGCACCAUGAAAACUCAGGGCCCUCAUCCUGGCCUGACAGCCAUGUCACCCCUUCAUCAUCUGAUGGAAGAAAGCUGUCCCUGAGAUGAGAAUGAAACUGACCAGGAGAGACAGGCCAUCCCUGCCGGACACACAAGAGCCUCGAUGCAGACCACGCCCCACUGUCAGAGUGGGACUCUACCCAGGCCUCAGCAACCACCCUGCAUGGGCUGAGAAAGGGAGAUUCCAGAGGCACCUUCACAGUCUCCUUUGCAAGUUAACCCUUUGCUUCUGCACUAAUUCAUCAUAGAACUUGAACAUAAAGGGUCUUGCAUGAUAUGCAUGAGACAGUAGCUGUGACACAGUGAGUUGUACAUAAUAUAGGCUCUGAGGUAAUUCAUACAUGUGUCCCCAUUUACAAAGGACACUCAACCUAUAAAUAAGGUGUCAAAUUUACUACUACUGUUUUUGAGAUCAAAAUGAGAGUUUGUUAAUUGAAGUUCAUGUCUAUAUUUUUCAAUUUUAACUAUAAAUGUGAAACUCAAAGGAAUGACAAAUUUUUAAGAGAACCAUUAAUGUCUAAAUAAGAGAAAUAAUAUGAUAAAAGGAGAGGUUAUGAUUAAUCCUUGUUGAUUUCUUCCCUUUCAUGUGUAUCAGGUAUCAUCCAGACUUGAAAGGGAAGGGUUUACUUUUCAAGGUGACAUACACAGAAAAGACUGGGAAAUAUAAGCUGGAAAGGCAAGGUAUGCUGCACUUACGUGAUUUUUCAAAGCAAGUAUCAGAUUGGUCUGCAGAUGACUGAGCUGAGUGUGAUAGAAAAGACGUGAUUUAAAAGAAACAGAAACAAAAAUAAUGGGAAAGACUCAUGUAUUUGGAAAAAAGUCCCCUUCACUGGCAGCAAAAUAGAAAAUAUCAGCUGGUAUAAAUGCAAUAAAUAUGCAAGACACAGAAUAUCCUUAAUUUACAAAGAGAUAUUUUUGAAAAACAGGAAAAAAGGCAAAGUGGAAAUGCAAAAGAAUAAACAAACUACGUUACCCCAAGAAUAUCAUUAAAUAUAAAAUGGCCAACAAACUAUGAAAAGAUCUUAACUUGAAAAAUAUGUAUUAUGACAAUAAAGGUAGAUCAUUUUCAGCUAUGAGAAUGUUGAAGUUUCUUAACAAUGAUUUGGGGUGGUCUAGAAAAAGGCACCUGAAUGUUCAUUUUUGGUGAGUGUGUGAAAUGUAUACAAUUUGACAGUAUUCUUUUAUCAACGAUUCUACCUCUAAAAUUUUAAUCGACAAAUGUGAUCAUUUUUUUUUGCAUAUUCAGGUAUGUGUAUAGUAGGAUUAUUUUUAAUACAUGAAAUCAGAAAUAACCUGGGUAUCUCACACAUCUAUCUUAAAUGAAUUGCUUCUUACAUCAAUCUUAUACAAUGUGUUACAUUAAAUAGAAGACAGCUUAGUAUAUGUCACUAGAGAACAAAGAUUACAUAAUGAUGUAGAAAGAUGUUCAUGACAUACAUGAGAACGAAGUUUGUUUUAGACAGAAGAGACAAAUGUGCCUGCCUUCUUUAUGUCUAUCUCAAGUACUAACUAGACAUGAAAAAUGUUUGGAAAAAACAGUAGAUGUGAAGCUUACCUUAUCUACUUGCUAGUUUUGUGAUCCAGGAGGAAUUACAACAUUCUUGAGCCUAUUUCUUCGUCUGAAAUCUCAGUAAAGAGUCAGUUCCCUAUUGCUGUCAAGAUUGAGAGUCAGUAUGAGGGUUUGCUUUGUGCUAAAGCUCUUCUCACACACAUCUUCACUCAUGUUGCUACUAACACAGAUGAGAAGCAGCAUCUCUCACGGAGAUGAGAUGAUGAGCACUACGUUUCUCCUGAAUAGUAUCAGCUACUUUCUACUUUACUUACAGAGUGCUACUAACAUAUUAAUUGUACACAGAAGAGUACUUCAAUGUAGGAUUUGACACUGAGCAGCCUUUCAGAGGAAAGUAUAGUACUUGGCAAUGGAUGUCCCUGAUGUACUCAUGUCAUAAAACCUUUAUCAAUAUCCUGAGGGAAAUAUAUACUAACUGUGUAAUAUCACACUUGAAAAACAAAAAACUUGACCAAAAGGGAUAAUUAAUCAUAAAAUACUCUAAAUUCGCCUUUCCAAACUAAGACCUUUUACAUAGAAAAGCUUUAAAUUACAGUCAGCCAUCAAUGAGAUGGUGCUUUCAGUGGGGUUCUAUUAUUUUGAGAUAAUGAAAAUAGGCUAACACUAAUGAUAGUGAAGUUUUCUCUUGCUCUGAGCCAAAUCCUGUGGUUAUCUGCCCUCCUCUCUCCAAGACACACUCUCUAGUAAUUUGCGUCUACGAACACCCCAGCAAGCCAUGCACUAUACUCUGUGGAUGUCGGAGUUUACUGGUCCAGUCAGCCUGACGGGAACCAUCACUUUGCUAUUUUUUUUGCACCGCCCCAUUUCUUUUUAAUCUAACAAAACAGCAGCUUGCUUUAACAAGUAAUCUUUCUUCUCAUGUGAUGAUGAGCUUAUUGUCAGAAAAAACAAUUUCCCUCACAAAAUAAUUUGAAUCACAAGCAAGCCCCCCAUUCAACUAAUGAGAAAAGUCUGUGUGUAAGUAAUGCUUCAACAGGAGCCAUUCAUUUCAGAGUUAUGGCCACACUCUGUUUUUAUGGAUAAAAAUAAACCACCUCUUAAUUGUCUCCAGUCAGUAGAUAAAC
Bos taurus (domestic cattle) is the source of this 4143-nucleotide long non-coding RNA. Lineage: Eukaryota; Metazoa; Chordata; Mammalia; Artiodactyla; Bovidae. The record is from Ensembl.